CAGCCGCCGCGGUAAUACGUAGGUGGCAAGCGUUGUCCGGAAUUAUUGGGCGUAAAGCGCGCGCAGGCGGUCCUUUAAGUCUGAUGUGAAAGCCCCCGGCUCAACCGGGGAGGGUCAUUGGAAACUGGGGGACUUGAGUGCAGGAGAGGGAAGUGGAAUUCCACGUGUAGCGGUGAAAUGCGUAGAGAUGUGGAGGAACACCAGUGGCGAAGGCGGCUUCCUGGCCUGUAACUGACGCUGAGGCGCGAAAGCGUGGGGAGCAAACAGGAUUAGAUACCCUGUUAGUCCACGCCGUAAACGAUGAGUGCUAAGUGUUAGGGGGUUUCCGCCCCUUAGUGCUGCAGCUAACGCAUUAAGCACUCCGCCUGGGGAGUACGGCCGCAAGGCUGAAACUUAAAGGAAUUGGCGGG
RNAcentral lists this ribosomal RNA (410 nucleotides) under uncultured microorganism. RNAcentral describes it as "bacterial SSU rRNA". It matches the Rfam family "Bacterial small subunit ribosomal RNA", at positions 509 to 917 of the family's 1533-position model. The record is from RNAcentral.